This 208-nucleotide long non-coding RNA is filed under the name Gossypium barbadense (sea-island cotton). RNAcentral describes it as "long non-coding RNA (GBAR_LNC017210)". Lineage: Eukaryota; Viridiplantae; Streptophyta; Magnoliopsida; Malvales; Malvaceae. The record is from RNAcentral.
CGCAUACGAGUUUGAACUCUUUGGAUCCUACCAGCCGCAGUACGGCACACCUGGCCCGUAUCCGCAGCAUCAUGGGACUCCCUCCGCAGCAUCAAGUUCGUCGAUGUCGAACGAGCCACCUGCGGCAAAUGAUUUUUUCUCUAUGUUUACUACACCCCCACCUGCGCCAAAUGAUGAUGUUGGUCAUCGCGAACACCCAGAACGUGAC